AUAUGCAAAUGUGGAAUGAACCUAAUGAAUAUGGUAAUUAACCACACCUCCAUUGUGUGACGCAUAUUCUUUCCCAUGGAAAAGCUCGGGCAUUCACAUCAAGCACUGUGGCAAUGUAGAAACAUGGUGAAUGUAGCAACAGGUAGUGGUGAUUUGGUGGAAGUAAUUGAAAAAGCAGUAGCUGCUGGUGUUGUAGCAGCUCUGCGAGGUCAGACUACGCCAACGUCGAGUGGACCUACAAUGUCAUCGACCAAAUUCAAGAUACAAUGACAUCUUUGAUGAGGAUGAGCCUGCUAAAAGGCCACGGCGUGCUUUACCCCUUCCACCAAGUCCACCAGCCCCACCGGCCCCACCAAGCCCACCGGCCCCACCAAGCCCACCAAGUUCAUGGGCCACACCAAGCCAACCAGCCAGCUCAAUGCCAGUAAUUACUCCAACAGACCGGCACAUUGUGACCGCGCUGGAGCACCUUAAGGAGGAGAUGGCAAUGAUAAAGCAGAUGCUCCUCCAUCUGACCCAGCAAUCUAAUACAGUUGCCACUCUACCAGCAGGCAUUAAUUUGCCUCUGAGCAGCUUGGCUGAACUCGAGGCCACUGAGGACAAAAUGAAGGACCUGGUCUGCUUCAAUGGAAUGACUAAAUACUUGUCUACUAUUGGUGGCACCAACCCAUGCACCAAUACCCGCCACGUUCUGUCCCGCAUCCUGACAACGCCAUUGGCACAACAGCUGUGCUGGCAGGGCUCUGGCAAGAAGGCAGCUUCUCUGCAGAGCCAUCAUAGAGGGGUAGAGAGAUGGAGAGAGAAAAUCACAGAGGAAAGAAGUCCAGAAUCCAACAAAAGACCAUGUAAAGUCAGCACUGCAGCAUAAUACAAGAAGAGGCUGGAGUGGAGACAGCAGAGACUGAUGUGAAUGUGGUGCCAGAGAAGGAGGACAAUCAAGGUCAUGUGGAAGUUAGGGAGGAAGAGGACAUCUCUGCAGGUCCAUCCUCCAAGAGAGCAAGAGACUCAUGCACUCUGGCCGACCUACUUGGUCAAAGAUAUGGUGCAAGUACUACAAAGAAACACAGAACCACACAGGACCAGGCAGAGGAGGAGAUGACAAGAUACAAGGAAGCAGCUCCCAUGUCACUUGCCGGAGGCAAUCCACUCAACUGGUGGAAGGAGCACCAGAGCGAGUAAAACGAUACCUAUGUAUCCCAGGGACAAGUGUCUCCUCAGGACGAGUUUUUCUACCGCGGGAGAUAUAAUCACUGCACAGAGGAGUGCACUUAGCUCAGACCAUGUAGACCAACUUCUGUUCCUAAACAAAAAUCUUAAAAAAAAAGUAGGCCAGAAUAAGUGAUGUGAUGAGGUCAGGCUAACAGGCUAGACAGGAGGGGGAGGAAGAGCCAUAGCUCAAUAUGUUGCUGUUUGUUGUUUACCAUAGUGAGUUGUGUUUUUAUUCUGAACUAAUGUGGUCAAAGUAAGUAACUGAAGUAGUUGGUAAAUUCUUGUAAGCUCUGAGUCAAUGAUCACUGACCAGUGAGUCCAGUCACUGAGACUGGACACAGUUUUUGUUUUUUGG
This is an RNA transcript of Megalops cyprinoides (Indo-Pacific tarpon), 1564 nucleotides long. It is a transcript of the gene named myb-related transcription factor, partner of profilin-like, with no coding region annotated. The record is from RefSeq and is a predicted model, not a curated record. The transcript has 6 exons. NCBI's taxonomy places the organism in Eukaryota, Metazoa, Chordata, Actinopteri, Elopiformes, Megalopidae.